This 488-nucleotide ribosomal RNA is filed under the name uncultured bacterium. RNAcentral describes it as "bacterial SSU rRNA". It matches the Rfam family "Bacterial small subunit ribosomal RNA", at positions 50 to 518 of the family's 1533-position model. The record is from RNAcentral.
AACACAUGCAAGUCGAACGCGAAAGGGACUUCGGUCCUGAGUAAAGUGGCGCACGGGUGAGUAACGCGUAGAUAACCUGUCUUCAUGUCUGGAAUAAUACGCCGAAAGGGGUACUAAUACCGGAUAUUCUUGCUUUUCAUAAGUUAUGCAAGCAAAGGUGGCCUCUGCAUAUGCUACUGCAUGAAGAGGGGUCUGCGUACCAUUAGCUAGUAGGUGGGGUAAUGGCCUACCUAGGCGACGAUGGUUAGCGGGUCUGAGAGGAUGAUCCGCCACACUGGCACUGGAACAUGGGCCAGACUCCUACGGGAGGCAGCAGCGAGGAAUAUUGCGCAAUGGGGGAAACCCUGACGCAGCGACGCCGCGUGAGUGAGGAAGGCCUUCGGGUCGUAAAGCUCUGUCAAGAGGAAAGAAGUGUACAAUGGCUAAUACCUGUUGUAUUUGACGGUACCUCUAAAGGAAGCACCGGCUAACUCCGUGCCAGCCGCCGC